UGAACGACUCUCGGCAACGGAUAUCUCGGCUCUCGCAUCGAUGAAGAACGUAGCGAAAUGCGAUACUUGGUGUGAAUUGCAGAAUCCCGUGAACCAUCGAGUCUUUGAACGCAAGUUGCGCCCGAGGCCUUUGGCCGAGGGCACGUCUGCCUGGGCGUCACGC
Molecule: ribosomal RNA, 163 nt
Filed under: Cherleria arctica
Lineage: Eukaryota; Viridiplantae; Streptophyta; Magnoliopsida; Caryophyllales; Caryophyllaceae
Also listed under: 5 other names
Description: 5.8S ribosomal RNA
Rfam family: 5.8S ribosomal RNA
About the family: 5.8S ribosomal RNA (5.8S rRNA) is a component of the large subunit of the eukaryotic ribosome. It is transcribed by RNA polymerase I as part of the 45S precursor that also contains 18S and 28S rRNA. Functionally, it is thought that 5.8S rRNA may be involved in ribosome translocation.
Source: RNAcentral